CUACUGUCUGAGUAAACGUGUGCAUUUGUAGAAAAUAGAUUCCUUCUUAAAAUUUUUAUGAUUUAAACCAAAUUGUUCCCUCAUAAGAACACUAAAAGAAAAUAUAAAUAUAUCUUUCAAAGCAUACAUAUCUUUAUGUGGAUUGGGGAUAUGCGUGUUUCAGUAUUAAAUAGGGCUUCUCUUUUACUCUCAAGUAUUAAGUCACUUUGUAGUAUGUAGCUAUUUUAUUUUAUACUACAUUAAUGUUAUGGUGUGUUGAAGUGAUACAAUCAUAGUUUGGUUCACAGAUCAUGAUUUAUAUUUCAUUACCAUUGAUUAUAUGAGAUGUCAUAUCAUCAGAAAGUAAUAUGCUUAAGUUACACAAAUAAUCUUUCCCCAUUUGUAAUAAGGCAAACAGACAUCUUUAAAAUAUGAAUGUUAUUUUGAAUGUCUACUAAAGAUACCUGUUUAAACAGACUAUAUAAUUUGAGAUGUGUAAGUAUGGUCGAUUGUUUUUCCCAAAAGUCCAUGCUGCAUAUCUUGGAAAAAGAUUACAAAGGUGCAUCAUUUCACACAAUUUCUAUCAAUUCUAUGGCAAUUCAACCCACUGUGAACCAUUAACUACCAAAGACACUUUGAAAUCCUUUUAACAGAGCAGCAAAAGUUCUAUCUAUGAUGCUGGUAGGAGUUAAAACUUUAUAUCAAGAAAUCAGCAGAAGCACUUCACAGGAAUUUCAGAUGCCCUGUGUUCAUUACAUAUGUGUGCACAUGCCUGUAGAACUCACCCUAAUCUGGAAGAGGAGUUUUAGUUCUAAAUAAUUCGUUCCUAAGACAAAGAAUAGAGGGGCUAAUUAAGUUUGUAGUGUUGAGUCACACAAAUGCAGUUGUUCUAGCAGAAUUUCUUUAAGAAGAGGUGGGGAUUUUAGAUAUUGAGACAAUCAUACUUUAAAAGUAUGACUAAUUAUUGCCUAUAAAAAAGGCAAAAGAAUGUUCAUUGGACACUCAUUUUAUUGAAGUGAUAAUGAAGGCAGUGGGGUUCUUUGAACUGAGAAGGCAUGCCAAGUAUUAAAGAGAUGUGUCUGUGCUCACACUGUUGGGUCCAUUUUGGGAACCUGGGUUGUAGUGCAGAGAGGACAGAGAUGAGUCGGAAAGCUGAGCAUGGUAAUAUUAUUCAUGAACGCAUAGAAAUAAAACAAAGUAAAACAUUAACUAAGAAAGUAAUAGGCCAGGCAAGGGGAGUGCCUCAUAAUCAUGUAUCUAUAACUAGCACAUUAAUUUUAUAUUAAUCCUAAUAUCCCUCAUUUGCAAGCAUUGAAUUCUUUCAAAACGAAUCAAUAUCCCAGCAUUGCAGUGUUCAGUGUGAAAAAGCUCUUUCAAUACAAGCCAGGAGGGAAAUGUUUUUUACUUACUCCAUAAUAGAAAUAUGUUCAACCGUCCAGUGGAGAUUUCUAACAAUGGUUUCAGGAAAUACCAGACACAACUCUUACUUUUUCCUUCUCUUUGAAGUCAUGCUUAAGAUGUUCUUAUGGUCCCCGUCAAAAGCAUAGUAUUCAUUUCUCAUAUUCAUUUCUGCUGUGCCAGCAUCUGCAGAGUCUAUAGGACAAUAAAUGUCUUCCUCCAGCAUAAAGCUCAUUUUUUUAUCUGUUUUUUUUUUUAAUUUACAACUGUGACAUUGGGAAACUUGUUUUCUAAUUUCAUCUGUGCCACUGGAUGCUGCUACCCAGCACGUGAUUCCCUGCCUAACUGGGAAUCACAUCCCUGCUACCAACUAGAACCUUGCAUAUUGUAUUUAUCAUAGAGGAAUUUGUAGUCUAGAAACUCAACAGGAGGAAUACCCUUGCUAAUCGUUUAUUUAAUAGCUCUAUGUGUCAAGCAUUAUUAAAAAUAAUGAAAAUGAACUUGGUAUUAUAGCUCAUGCUUGUAAUCAAAACAUAUGAGCAUAAGGAAAGAGGAAGGCCAUAAGUUUGAGGCCAGCCUAGGUUACCCAUUGAGUUUGAGGUAACCUCAGCCAUUGUCUGAGGUCCUAUUUUAAAAACAAAACCAAAAGCAAAAUGUUCCAAAUCCAGAUCAACCAACCAAACAUCCAUCCAAAAAGAACAAAACAAAAUGAAAACAAAACAAAAAGUCUAGUUCUAUAAAAAUGCAAUGUAUCAUCAUAGCAUCACAGAACAGUGUUCUUGACAAGGACAUUAUGUUUGGGGAUCGAGUAACAUGAACAAGAUUAUUAUCAGAGUUCUCUGGCUUGAGAUGUGACUCAGUUGAUAAAGUGCCUAGAAUGCAGGAAGCCAAGUUUAAUUCCAGCAUCACUUAUAACUAGGAAUAGCAGAACAGGUCUAUGACUCCGGGAUUCAGGAGGUGGAGGACAAUCAGAAGUUCAAGGUCAUUAUGUGAUAUACAGCCAGACCACUACUUCAAAGCUUUUCUAGUAAUAUUAGAGGCUAGGUCUAAAACACUUAAACUUACAAGAAAAAAAGUAAUUCCUGCCCCCCCCCC
This 2472-nucleotide long non-coding RNA is filed under the name Mus musculus (house mouse). RNAcentral describes it as "long non-coding RNA chr1:25238377-25240849". Lineage: Eukaryota; Metazoa; Chordata; Mammalia; Rodentia; Muridae. The record is from RNAcentral.